AGGAUGUUGGCUUAGAAGCAGCCAUUCAUUUAAAGAGUGCGUAACAGCUCACUGGUCAAGCGGCUUUGCACCGAAAAUUUCAGGGGCUUAAACUUGUUACCGAAGCUGCGGAUUGUUCUCGUUUACGAGGAUAGUGGUAGGGGAGCGUUCUAUAGUAGGUUGAAGGAGAAUUGAAAAACUCUCUGGACAAAUUAGAAGUGAUCAUGCCGGCAUGAGUAGCGAUAAAACAAGUGAGAAGCUUGUUCGCCGUAAGCCUAAGGUUUCCUGUGGAAGGCAAGUCCACACAGGGUUAGUCGCGUCCUAAGUCGAGGCUGAAGAGCGUAGACGAUGGGUAACAGGUUAAUAUUCCUGUACCACCACCAGGCGAUUGAAUCUAGGAGAGACGCAAACAUUAGAAUCUACUAGCGGAUGGAAGUGCUAGGUCAAGCGGACGGAGGUUCCGGUUAAUCCCGGAAAUUACCUCUGAAAGUGAUGAGGUGUCCUUAAGGACUGAACUGGUUCGGUUGUUUGCCAAGAAAAGAACUCCGAGAGGACAAAUGGUGGUGUGCGUACCGCAAACCGACACAGGUAGGCAAGGAGAAUAUCCUAAGGCGCUCGAGAGAACUCUCGCUAAGGAACUCGGCAAAAUGGCUCCGUAACUUCGGGAGAAGGAGCGCUUGAGUUGGCUGGUUCGCCAGUCUAGCGAAAGCCGCAGUGAAAAGGCCCAUACGACUGUUUACUAAAAACACAGGUCUGUGCUAAAUCGUAAGAUGAUGUAUACGGACUGACGCCUGCCCGGUGCUGAAAAGUUAAGGAGAGGGGUUAGAGCUUAGGCUCGAAGCUCUGAACCGAAGCUUCAGUAAACGGCGGCGGUAACUAUAACCGUCCUAAGGUAGCGAAAUUCCUCGUCGGGUAAAAUCCGACCUGCACGAAUGGCGUAACGAUAUGGGCACUGUCUCAGCGAGAGACUCGGUGAAAUUGUAUUAUCGGUGAAGAUGCCGAUUACCCGUAAAAAGACGGAAAGACCCCGUGAACCUUUACUAUAGCUUGAUAUUGAAUUUGGGUUUAGCUUGUGUAGGAUAGGUGGGAGACUUUGAAGCUGGAGCGCUAGCCCCAGUGGAGUCGUCCUUGAAAUACCACUCUUGUUGUAUCUAAAUCCUAACUCUGGUUUGUAUAUCCAAGCCGAGGACAGUGUCAGGUGGGUAGUUUGACUGGGGCGGUCGCCUCCUAAAGCGUAACGGAGG
RNAcentral lists this ribosomal RNA (1223 nucleotides) under marine metagenome. Its description in RNAcentral is "bacterial LSU rRNA". It matches the Rfam family "Bacterial large subunit ribosomal RNA", at positions 1095 to 2306 of the family's 2925-position model. The record is from RNAcentral.